RNAcentral lists this ribosomal RNA (497 nucleotides) under uncultured bacterium. RNAcentral's name for it is "partial 16S ribosomal RNA". It matches the Rfam family "Bacterial small subunit ribosomal RNA", at positions 28 to 507 of the family's 1533-position model. The record is from RNAcentral.
GAUGAACGCUGGCGGCGUGCCUAAUACAUGCAAGUCGAGCGAACAGACGAGGAGCUUGCUCCUCUGACGUUAGCGGCGGACGGGUGAGUAACACGUGGAUAACCUACCUCUAAGACUGGGAUAACUUCGGGAAACCGGAGCUAAUACCGGAUAAUAUAUUGAACCGCAUGGAUCAAUAGUGAAAGACGGUUUUGCUGUCACUUAUAGAUGGAUCCGCGCCGCAUUAGCUAGUUGGUAAGGUAACGGCUUACCAAGGCGACGAUGCGUAGCCGACCUGAGAGGGUGAUCAGCCACACUGGAACUGAGACACGGUCCAGACUCCUACGGGAGGCAGCAGUAGGGAAUCUUCCGCAAUGGGCGAAAGCCUGACGGAGCCACGCCGCGUGAGUGAUGAAGGUCUUCGGAUCGUAAAACUCUUUUAUUAGGGAAGAACAAAUGUGUAAGUAACUAUGCACGUCUUGACGGUACCUAAUCAGAAAGCCACGGCUAACUACGUG